This 339-nucleotide ribosomal RNA is filed under the name uncultured Polymyxa. RNAcentral's name for it is "SSU rRNA". The stretch from base 123 to 339 matches the Rfam family "Eukaryotic small subunit ribosomal RNA", at positions 744 to 955 of the family's 1831-position model. The record is from RNAcentral. Lineage: Eukaryota; Endomyxa; Phytomyxea; Plasmodiophorida; Plasmodiophoridae.
GACUUGUGUGCAUGGGAACUCGCGGUCUUCGUCCAAAAGGGCGUUACGACAUGCGGUUCCUGUGCCGUAAAAUUUGCAACUGAGUCGCCUCUGGUCUUAAUUGGUCGGUGGCGUCUGCUCGGUUGCUCGUUUACUGUGAGAAAAUUGGAGUGUUCAAGGCAGGCGUGGAUUGCAACUGAACAUGUUAGCAUGGAAUAAUAAGAUAGGGCUCCGGCUCAUAUUUUGUUGGUUUCUAGAGCGUGGGAGUAAUGAUUGAUAGGGACAGUUGGGGGUGCUAGUAUUCAGCGGCCAGAGGUGAAAUUCAUGGAUUCGCUGAAGACUGACUUAUGCGAAAGCAUU